GAUGAACGCUGGCGGCGUGCUUAACACAUGCAAGUCGAACGAAGCGAUUCUUUUGGAAGUUCUCCAGCUUGCUGGAGGAUGGACAUGUGAAUUGACUGAGUGGCGGACGGGUGAGUAACGCGUGGGUAACCUGCCUCACACUGGGGGAUAACAGUUAGAAAUGACUGCUAAUACCGCAUAAGACCACAGAGUCGCAUGGCUCUGAGGUAAAAACUCCGGUGGUGUGAGAUGGACCCGCGUCUGAUUAGCUAGUUGGUGAGGUAACGGCUCACCAAGGCGACGAUCAGUAGCCGGCCUGAGAGGGCGACCGGCCACAUUGGGACUGAGACACGGCCCAAACUCCUACGGGAGGCAGCAGUGGGGAAUAUUGCACAAUGGGGGAAACCCUGAUGCAGCGACGCCGCGUGAUUGAAGAAGUAUUUCGGUAUGUAAAGAUCUAUCAGCAGGGAAGAAAAUGACGGUACCUGACUAAGAAGCCCCGGCUAACUACGUGCCAGCCGCCGCAGUA
Molecule: ribosomal RNA, 508 nt
Filed under: uncultured bacterium
Lineage: Bacteria
Description: bacterial SSU rRNA
Rfam family: Bacterial small subunit ribosomal RNA
Source: RNAcentral